GAUGAACGCUGGCGGCGUGCCUAAUACAUGCAAGUCGAGCGAACGGACGAGAAGCUUGCUUCUCUGAUGUUAGCGGCGGACGGGUGAGUAACACGUGGAUAACCUACCUAUAAGACUGGGAUAACUUCGGGAAACCGGAGCUAAUACCGGAUAAUAUUUUGAACCGCAUGGUUCAAAAGUGAAAGACGGUCUUGCUGUCACUUAUAGAUGGAUCCGCGCUGCAUUAGCUAGUUGGUAAGGUAACGGCUUACCAAGGCAACGAUGCAUAGCCGACCUGAGAGGGUGAUCGGCCACACUGGAACUGAGACACGGUCCAGACUCCUACGGGAGGCAGCAGUAGGGAAUCUUCCGCAAUGGGCGAAAGCCUGACGGAGCAACGCCGCGUGAGUGGUGAAGGUCUUCGGAUCGUAAAACUCUGUUAUUAGGAAAGAACAUAUGUGUAAGUAACUGUGCACAUCUUGACGGUACCUAAUCAGAAAGCCACGGCUAACUACGUG
Molecule: ribosomal RNA, 497 nt
Filed under: uncultured bacterium
Lineage: Bacteria
Description: partial 16S ribosomal RNA
Rfam family: Bacterial small subunit ribosomal RNA
Source: RNAcentral